CGGCGAGUGAAGCGGUAACAGCUCAAAUUUGAAAGCUAGCUCUUUUAGGGUUCGCAUUGUAAUUUGUAGAAGAUGCUUCGGGUGUGGCCCCGGUCUAAGUUCCUUGGAACAGGACGUCAUAGAGGGUGAGAAUCCCGUAUGUGACUGGGUGCUUUCGCUCAUGUGAAGCUCUUUCGACGAGUCGAGUUGUUUGGGAAUGCAGCUCAAAAUGGGUGGUAAAUUUCAUCUAAAGCUAAAUAUUGGCCAGAGACCGAUAGCGCACAAGUAGAGUGAUCGAAAGAUGAAAAGCACUUUGGAAAGAGAGUUAAACAGUACGUGAAAUUGUUGAAAGGGAAGCGCUUGCAACCAGACUUGCGCGCUGAUGAUCAUCCGGGCUUCUGUCCGGUGCACUCGUCUGCGCUCAGGCCAGCAUCGGUUUCGGUGGUGGGAUAAAGGCCUUGGGAAUGUAGCUCCUCUCGGGGAGUGUUAUAGCCCUCGGUGCAAUGCCGCCUACCGGGACCGAGGACCGCGCUUCGGCUAGGAUGCUGGCGUAAUGGUUGUAAGCGACCCGUCUUGAAACACGGACCAAGGAGUCUAACAUCUAUGCGAGUGUUUGGGUGUCAAACCCAUACGCGUAAUGAAAGUGAACGGAGGUGAGAACCCUUAAGGGUGCAUCAUCGACCGGUCCUGAUGUCUUCGGAUGGAUCUGAGUAAGAGCAUAGCUGUUGGGACCCGAAAGAUGGUGAACUAUGCGUGAAUAGGGUGAAGCCAGAGGAAACUCUGGUGGAGGCUCGCAGCGGUUCUGACGUGCAAAUCGAUCG
Molecule: ribosomal RNA, 800 nt
Filed under: Oculimacula acuformis
Lineage: Eukaryota; Fungi; Ascomycota; Leotiomycetes; Helotiales; Ploettnerulaceae
Description: partial large subunit ribosomal RNA
Rfam family: Eukaryotic large subunit ribosomal RNA
Source: RNAcentral